Molecule: long non-coding RNA, 1846 nt
Organism: Esox lucius (northern pike)
Lineage: Eukaryota; Metazoa; Chordata; Actinopteri; Esociformes; Esocidae
Source: Ensembl
UUUCCAGACGUACAGUAUUCUUCUCUUGGAGCUUUAUACAUCAGUGACACAGAAGACGCCAUGCAAGAAUUUGAACCGUAAACAGCGGUCCUGAACAGUAGUUUCUCUACAGGAGACUUUUCUGCCCUGAAACAAUCAUACAGUUACACUUUUACAAGACAAAAGAAAAAAGAACAUUGGUGGAAUAAUGCCGUCACAUUCGGUCAAAAUGGCCACUCUCCACCCAGGCAAGUAGCGUAGUCUGAGGCAGUUUGAGUGCAGCUGUAACUGCCUGAUUGCAUUUACCAUAGAUGUUUGUCAGAGCAGCACUACAAAGCUAACUGUGCGUGACGCACAAGUUGGUGCUCGGGCCGUGAUGGAUGAAGACUUGCGGAGGUACGACAGCUCCCAGCAGAAGUACUGACAUAUUUACACAUCGCUGGCUCCCGCACCGCCUCCAAGUGUAGACGGAGUUCAGCAGCUGGUGCUCUUACAGUUCAGUGUGUCCAACUCAGAGAAAAAGGCCUAUUGGUGGAGUUGGGUUCAGGAGAUGUGGCGUUUUCCCCCCACAGGCCUUCAGUGCGCGUCUGCGGUCCGUGCAGAGCUACCCAGGCCACUGUCAGAGCACUGGAGUUGAACUUCGCCAUUCUCCCUCCUUGAGGAACGAGUUCUGUCACUGGAGUACAGUGACCAUACAUUCAGUGGUGUAUGUAGAGCUAGCUUGAAAUGAACUUGGUCCACUGGAGUGAUUCUGAUCUAGGAAUCAUGACCUGUUCAAAUCAAAACUGAAACCUGUUCUGCAUUGAGUUAAUUUCUUCUGCAAACCAAAUGUAGAAUGUUGAACGGAAAUGGUGCAGUUCUGAACAAGGGAAGGGUUGGGUUGAGAAACAUUGCAAGAAUAGCCUUUUCCCUUUAAAUACAUUACUCAGUGCUUGAAGCCACACCUGUCAAAUGGGAGUAAACAUUUCAGAAUUGGUUUAAGGAUGUAAAAUAAUGUUUUGGGCCAACCUGAUGUUCGGUAAAAGUCUGGGAUGCUGGCCUUUUUUCCUAGUCAUCCUCUGUCCAGUGUCUGUAUUCUUUUUUCCAGUCUGAGACAUGGCUUUUUAUUUUGCAACUCUGCCUAGAAGGCCAGAAUCCCGGAGUCGCCUGUUCACUGUUGAGGUUGAGACAGGUGUUUUCCAGAUACUAUUUAAUAAAUCUGCCAGCUGAUGCUGAUUUAUUUAAUAAAUCAAUUGCUGAUGCUUCAGAUACCUAACUAGUCCAAAAAAGGCCUAAGGCUAAAAAAAAUUGCACAAGGGUUUUCUAAUGAUCACAUAGCCUUUUAAAAUGAUUAUCUUGUAUUAGCAAACACAACGUGCCAUUGGAACACAGGACUGAUGGUUUGCUUAUAAUGGGCCUCUGUACACCUAUGUCGAUAUUCCAUUGAAAAUCAGCUGUUUCCAGCAACAAAAGUCAUUUACAACAUUAACAAUGUCUAAACUCUAUUUCUGAUCAACUUGAUGUUAUUUUAAUGGACAAAAUUGUGCUUUUGUUUAAAAACAAGGACAUUUCUAAGUGACCCCAAACUUCUGAACGGUAGUGUAUAUUCAAGAUAGUAUUUACAGAUAUACAGCAAUGGACAAGGGAAGUGCACGGUUUUGUAUUUCACACUUGCUGGAUAAACCAAUGCAUGUCAUGUUUCCCACGAAAUAAGAGUGUCUUAAUUAACAACAUUUAAAUAUAAGCAUCAUGGCUUGGAUUUAGUGUUGUUUAUAAAGGCAAAGCAUAGAUUAAUGCUGUCAAUACACCGACUUUUCUUUAGGUCACUCUGGACAGUAUGUACAGAACCUCACAAAUGUGAGUAUACAUUUGAGUAUAUCUUUUCAUG